Molecule: long non-coding RNA, 427 nt
Filed under: Dermacentor andersoni
Lineage: Eukaryota; Metazoa; Arthropoda; Arachnida; Ixodida; Ixodidae
Description: uncharacterized LOC126543164
Source: RNAcentral
CCUCCCAGACAAUUCAUACCUGCUCAAUGGAGAAACAAGAGACAGCCAUAAUCCUUGCGUAAGGUAUAGCUGUUCGAAUGGAAGCCUAUGGACCGAAAGAUGCAGAGAAACACAGGAUCCCCUCUGCAGCAUGUCGGCUGGUGGAAGUGGCGUAUUUCCUGAGUGCUGCCCAGUGAUGCUUUGCCAAUGAAACCAAACAGAAAUCUCUGUGCCAAGUAUAGUUCCAAAAGCACAGUUUUUGCACAAUACAGAAGACUCAUGAGAAAUCCAAACUCCAAACUUUUACAAAAUAGAAUUACUCGCUUUUGGUAUUUCCAAGAGGAAGUUUGCAGCCCUGACAGUAGGCAUAUUUAAAUACCUGGUGCGUGAAACCCAGCCCUCAAUGAAAUAGAAAGGAGAAGACAAGAAAGAUAUAAUUCAAACACCA